Molecule: non-coding RNA, 8516 nt
Organism: Anas platyrhynchos (mallard)
Lineage: Eukaryota; Metazoa; Chordata; Aves; Anseriformes; Anatidae
Source: RefSeq, a predicted model, not a curated record
UGAGCACCGAAAGGAGUGGCUUGGCUGCAAUAAACCCGCAUAUUUACCUCACUGUGAAUACUUUUUUUUUUUUUUUUUUGAAGUGGUUGUACCUGUAAAUCUAGUCAUGGAAGACAUAGUUCUUUCAGAUGAUGAUGGUAAACAAUUAUCUGUGAGGAGGAGUGACUUGGCACUUGGGGAAAACCCAGGGGUCCAGAAGCUGGGACACCCUAUGUCAUCUCUCAGCUCAGCAGGAUUACACAAUGGAGAAGCAGCCCUAUGUUUCUGGGAAGGAGACAACUUGAAGCUGCUUUUAUCUCUCACAUGGAUGCAGACAACGUUAAUUCUCCUCUCAAAAAGGAUGGUUCAAAAUCAAUGGAACAGCUGGGAGUAAAGAGCAGUAAUGACUUUGACUUCCUGAUCUUCAAGCUGAACAAAGUCAGAGCACUCCAGGACUGACCACUGUAACCAGGACUUCCCAACUACUGUCGUGCCAAGCUGAGUAUAACUGGACACCUAGAACAUGAAAAUGAAUUCACAUCUGCUUGCCACUUGACAAGAUUUAAUAGAGUUAUAUUCAAAACCAGAACUGACAUCAUACAACAGAGCAUCAUCGAAGUGUACAAGGCAGCAAGUUCCGUAAAGCUUGCAAAAUGAGGCAUCAGUCACAAAGUAUCACCAGUGAAUGUUGCUGUCAUUGCACCAUUCAGCCAUUUGAAAGAAUCACAGAAUCACAGAAUCACCUAGGUUGGAAGAGACCUCCAAGAUCACCGAGUCCAACCUCUGACCUAAACCAUUCCCUGUUUAACAGAGCAGCCAAUUUGUAGGCUCUUUCUGCUUCAGAGCAGAAGCGCUCUCUGUUCCAUCAGUGACACAGGUAGAAAGCAUACAACACAACAAUAAAUAACCAGCUGCAAUGCUCAGUUUCCAGGAACUGAAAAGUAAAUUGAUUUCCAUAUGACUCAACUGCUCAGAUCAAUAACUACCCUUCUUUCUUCCUGUACAUACACACUUUUCUUCCUCUGAAAUAACCGAUAUUAUCUUCAAAUUUAAGGAACAUCUUACUGUGCUUAUGAUUGCACAAAUAAGUUCUUCAGGGAAAAACUACCUUGAAACAUCUUCUGCCUGUUAAUUUAUCCAGUGAAAAAUUUCUUAUGAGCUUUUAUGAUUUAGUCACAGACAACUGUGGUGCAACAAGGCUAUAUUCAUGUUCUUUACCUGCUAGGAAGCUGGUUCAAAAACAAAACAAAACAAAAAACACAUACUGAUUUAUUAUUUGAAUCACAUCCAUCCAUACAUCGCAACCUCUUUGUUUUCUUCACCUCCUAGGACUGCAAGCAUUAUACAAUUUCUCCAAGAUACGUCACUGUCUAAAGUUAUAGCCACAUCACAUAUGAGGUAACUGAGGCCACUGUAAGUAAAUUCUCAAGGAACAUUAUAAGUUACAAUCCGACUGACUACUAAAUUCUUAAUAACUUCCUAAGAAAACUGAAACAGCAAGAGCACAUAUAUCCAUUGACACUGACAGUGAGUCAUCUGAGUUCAAAGGUAGUAAAAAGAUUUUUUUUUAAUUAAAGCUCAGUUCACAAUGCACAGACUUGCCUGCACAAGUCACAAUCUGCUAAAGCUCUAGAUAGCAUGUAAGCCAUAAAGAUAUUGAUAGUCAGAACACCCCUAGGACGAAAGCACGUACAUCAGCAGUGGAAUGUGCUCCCGCAUGAUUACGCAGAGAAAAGCAUUCCUUCCACCUCUAGGUGCAUGUAUAUUGCAGGUAUAUGACGGACUGUCAGGUGGGGUUUUUUGUUUCAGUUUGGUUUUUCACCUCCAAGAAAAUGCUUCUUAUUUUAAAUGACUACGAAUGGCAGCUUCUGAAAGUGCUGCUCCUACAAAUGAACUAACAACACAAGGAAAACUAAAAACAUUUAAGUUUCUGCCUUUGGGCUCCACAUAAUCUCUUUAACUGCAUAUUCAGCUCAGUUAUUUCUACUCAGCUUCUGAUGGCUGCUAAGGUGAACAGUAGUUCUUUGUCCACAUGAAUUAUCCACUUCAGACACAGGCUAUAGUGUUCCUACCAUUUACAGACUCAUUUCCCCCGCAUUCUCAACAAUUAGGUCAGAAUAUAUGCUACCUAGAAAUCUGGAGCUGUUUAAUUUUACAAAAGCACAGAAACAUCCCCACACAGGAUCAGUUUACAAAUAACACAUGGAGUGGAAUACAUCCUGAACUAUUUUUCCUUAACAGUGGAAGAACAACUGAUGGAAAUCUCAAGACUAAAAUUCCUAGAAUUCUAGUAAUUUUAAAAAAAUGUUAUAGAACACAGCAUAUAUUUUAAUCCCUUAAAUCCAUUCCUGUGCUUUGGCACAUCUUUCCAGCUCCCUGCCUCCUGGCUCCUGCAUAAUGAAGUUAAACACGUGAACAAUGUAACACCUUAUCAAGCACAGGUAUUUCAAAAAGCUUAAAGGUAAUGUUAAAUUCAAAAGCUGAUGUAGUCUACAAAGUUAAUUACUGAAGGCCAACAUGGGGAGCACAUCAAGAUUUCACGUGAACAAAUGAAGAUACUUAUCUCACUGUAAUAAUGAUCCCAAAGGGCACAGAACUGCACAGAUUGCAUGUAGGUGGGGCAAGGUGCACUGACAUUACAUCCUUUUUAUAGAGGCACUGUGCUAAUGACCAUUUAUUUAUAUUAGUAACUUUGUAUGUUAUCAUCAUAUGUGAUUAUGCUGUAUACACAGAUUGAUAGUUUAUAUAAAAUCCUAUAAAAUUUAUCUAGUGCACAUAAACUUGUAAAUUUUGUGUAUAAUUUACAUAUAAAAAUGUUACAUUUAGUGUAAUGAUAGCACAAGAGGUAACUAAAAGGGCAGAUUUAGAUUAGAUAUUAGGAGAAAAUUCUUUACUGUUAGGGUGGUGAGGCUCUGCAGCAGGCUGCCCAGAGAAACUGGCUGCCCCAUCCCUGAAGUGCCCAAGGCCAUUGGGACACCUGGUGUGUUGGGAGGCGUCAUGCCCAUGGUUCUGGUUGGAACUAGAUCCUAUUAUGGCCCCAAGCCACUCAGUGAUUCUGUGAUUUGUAACAGUACUGUAUCAAGUCCAAAGGUGUUCUGAUAUUAUUACUUUUAACAACACUGUCAUAAAUAACAGUAACACAGAACCAAAAGUAUUUAUUCUCUUUACAUUUUACAGUGUUCUUAUUUGUACAAAGCCUGAUAAGAAUAAUAAAUAUCACAGGGAUAAUAAUUCCAUGCUGGUCUUUCAACAAAUCAGUGGAUUUGCAGGGAAGAAUGAGAAGAACCACACAGAGAAAGGUGGGCUGAGAAGUAUUUUUAGCUGGGUUACAGCCACCAGAAGAAAAAAAAAAGCCUUUAAUUCCCCUGAAAGGCAAAUCAGUACUGACUACAGCAGUGUUGAUUGCCUCCUACAGUGACUCUUAUGAAGCACAGGCAAACUCUGAUGUACUGUAGCAGCGUAAGUAAUACUGAGUCUACUUUUCUAGUCUUGAUACUAAAAUACUUCAUGUCUCAAUGGACAUCAACGCCAAUCCUGUUUGCUCAUAAAGCAUAAAGGAGCAAUCCUACAGGCUCUGAAGUCUCCUCCUGAAAAUUCUGUAUUUAUUAUCAAAUCACACAACUACCCACCAGCAAGAUAGUUUUAAAUUUUGUACCUUCAUUUAUAUUACUACUGUCUUAAAUGCUGCAUUUCAGGAAAAAAACACAGUUUUGAUUCAAUUACACAUCUUUCAAAUGUAAAGAGCAUGUAAAAGCAUUUUGUGCUAGCCACUUAAUAUCACAAGAGGAACUAUUUUUAUUAUAUACUGUAAUUUAUACAUGAUAAUAUUUGGAGGAUUUUAACUAUCAAGACUAGAUCUCAGAAUACAGCACAGAAUGAAUACUGUGAGAACAGAGAUCUCCAGUAGAUGGAAGCAUUGGCCAGCAAAAACUAAGCUCACAUUGCUCAUGGGAUUGUCAUUCCUGCAGCACGGCAUGGUGCCUCCCCCUGCUACACACAGGAUUUUAACAUACAGAUAUCCCAGCUGGCUGACAGUGGUAGAAAAUAAGUCUAUAUUUAUUUAUCAGUAUGUGGUCUCUAGUAUUGCUGUAUCACAGCAUACAAUUACUAUUUAAAUAUUUACAAAAAUCUCACGUUGAAAGAUGAGAGGACAGACAGAUGGAUAAUGAAUCAUGAAUCUGACUGCCGAUUCCAGGCAAAAUUUGGAGAGAUAUAAGCUUCACAAACCUUUUCAUGACCUCUCUGACAGUUAAAAAGAUUCCAACUUCUUGAUUUUUCUCAUACUUUAACAAAAAAUAUGACCCAAAUAUAAAUGUUUAAAAUGUAUUUAAAUAUAAUAAUCUCACAUUGUCUGGUAUAGUGCUGAAAUGAAACAAACUCAAGUUCAGGGUUCGUUCUGAAGCUCAUUUAACAGGACAAGUAACACUGGUGGCCAUUAAUGGCAGAAAUUAAAUAUCCCUUCAAUAUCAGAUUCAACAGUACCCUAAUUCUAGCAACCAUAAAAUCGUUCUAGUCCAUUAGAGUCCAGGAAAGUUGCAUGAUUACUGACCCACAUUUCACAGUGAUGCAAGUCCCUUAGCUCAAAAUGGACAAAGAGACCUGAUAUCCCAAUACCACCAUUGCAUGUUGAUUAACUAAACACUUAUCAAGUUAUAAUUUAAGAACUUACACACAGGUCAAACACUGGCUAGUGAUUAUGUCUCUCACCUGACUGUUAUGAACCUCUCCACACUGACUGACUGCUGCUUUCCACCUCCGUUAUCUGUUUUAUCUCAUUGCCGUCUGAUCUCUUAUAACUUGUUUCCUGCAGCCCUACCUAGAUAGAGAUGUGAAACAUGAUUUCCUUUUAGUUACUUUGGCAAAGAGGUUGAGAUUACUUUUUGCAGUAUACUGAGCAAAUAUACAUUUAUACAAAUAGUACUUUCAAAGUAUGAGGAAAGGAAUACAAAAUUAAAUUCUAAUGAAAUAUCUUUACUGCUUCACCACAAACAGCAAAAAAUCCCAAUUGGCAUUCCCUUGUUUUCCCCCAUAACUAAGUCUGGAAAUUCUGCUCUCUAUAUCUUCCCCCCCCCCCCCCCCCCCCCCCUCCCACCCCUCCACCCAAAUGAAGUUAUAUUCUCUCUCCACCAUUCCUCAUCCAGUGUUGCCAAAAUUUAGCUGCUACCUCAAUUCCAGUCUCCUCCCACCAUUUCAGGAGACCUGGCUUUCAGUCAAGAUUUCAGAACUCCAAAAUUUCUCAGUCCCAAUAUCCCAAUACCUGGCCUGCUACUAGCACUCUGUAUCUUUGAUAGAAUUCUUGUUUUCAGCUCUGCAGUAAUUGGAAGUUAACCCAAGUUAGAAUUUUCAACUUGAGGAUCUCAAAACACAGCAGCAACAGAGAAUGGCCCGUUUCCUGGUUAACUAAUGGCAAGCCUGUAAGCACAGCUUCUAGUGAACUCUAGAGCAUCUGCACAUAGAGCAAUUAUAUGUAUGUUUAUACACAUACACAACACUCUGUCAGAGCUACUGAUCUACACAUCACAUGCACAGACUUAAGACACAUGGUUACCGCUACUUACAUUCCCACAUCCUUACACGAAACAUUAGCUGCACACACAUGCUUACACAUUGUUCUGUGCACACAAUGAGGGUUAACAAACUUAUUAUUGCAUACCUGCAUAUCUCUAAUAGCUGCUCCUACUUUUUAUUUAACUCCUGCUUCACCUUUCGCAUUGGGCAUUUCCUGGAACUCUUGCAAUUACUAAAAACAAAAACAAAAAGCAGGCAUAUUUUAACAGUGAUGAAACAAAAGUUGGUAAAGGCAUGAAAGAAGUGGAAAACAAAUUAUAGCUUGCCCUUCAGAGAAACAGAGCCUGGGGCAGAUGAAGCAAGCUCAGAGAUGUAACGUUCACUGCUAGUGCACCUCUGACAUCUGCCGGGAUAACAGCUGGGCUGGGCUGCUCAUCACAGAAACAAAAGAAAACGAAUAGGAAAAAGCAAAGAGCAACGACAGGUGGGAAUCCGUACUACACAGAAGCACUGGACAAGGUAGGUUUUUCCCCUUUUUUAUUGUGUCUUGAUGUUCACAGUAACAUUUAACGAUAGAAAUAGGUGAGCAGAAUCACACAGACCAAAUGAAAACCCAAACUGAGCACACUGUAUCAGGAAAGGAACGGGGACUUUGAAUCACAGGCAGCCCUCCCUGGAACAGAAAUACAUAAAUAAAAGCAUCUUCUUUGUUGCCAUUAAUGGGAGCAUUUCCUGCCAUCUGUGAGAUAACAACCCCUUUUCUCCCCGGUACCUCAGUAACCAUGGCAACUGUCUCCGCAAUGACAUCACGCAGUUUCCUGGGCAACAGUUCCCAGUGCAGUGACAUCAUGCAGUCACCAUGGCGAUGCUCCAUGAGGCCAGGAAGAAAGUAUUUAAAGUGGGAAGAGAGGUCAGGGAGGACACCAGGACUCAGGAAAGAGCAGGGAAUAAAAGAUAAAGGCAGUAAAAAAUUAGUUUGUGAGAAGAGGAAAGGCAAGGGACAGGAACAGAGAAUGAAGACAGGAGACCGAAAGAAGUACAGAGGGAAUAAGAAAAAUGUUAGGAAUCUGAACUACUAUUUAAUUGGAAAAAAAUUAAAUGCAUUAUCUAAUUUGAUAUUACAUUAUUUAGGUUAGGCUUGCUGAACGAGAGCGUGCAUGGUCACGUGAAGUUUAGGUGCAGCAGGCAUGGCUUAAAUGCUGAUUUAGAUGGUGAGACUUUUAACAGUCUAUAAGAAACUACCAGAAGCCUCCAGAGAGACACUAGCUCAAAUCAUAUAGAAUAUUCUAGCUACGUUUUCUGAUACAAGGUACUUUUUAUGAUACAUUUCCAUUCUCUCAGUGACUCAGGUGCUCAUUCACAGCAAUGCUAAUACCUUGAUGAUACAGUCCUGCCUGUACAGGGCUUCAAAAGAAAAUUAAUUUGCCCUCUUCUUUCUUUUUGCUGUUAUUUUGUUGGUUUCUUUUGCACUUAAAUAUAAGACAACAUAACUUGAAUAACUUACAAAUGAAAAUGCUUAACAUUGAUUGAAAGCUCCUUCACCAAGAAGGAAUUAAAGAGCAUUGGUUCCAUCUCUUUAAUUUCUAGAUCUUCCAGUAUUUUCAAAUGUUUCAAUUUACUGAGUAUGAAUGUCCUUUCUGAUUCAAUUGUCUUUGCGUUCUAGACAGCCUCAGCUGGUGGGCAAUGCUAAUGGCAGCUUUAUGUUAAAUGGCUCAAAAGCUCUGGGAAAAAGGCUUUUUGGCAAGGAAACUGACAUUAUUGAUACAUAAUGUUUUAUCAGUGUACACAGCCUUGAGUGAAAGAUAAAUUAACAAAACAGAGAGCCUUUUGAGGACAGUUUGCAGUCUAAAAACUUAGGACAAUGGUAUUGAAGAAACUUCAAAGUCAAUCAUAGAGUAUUUUUCUAUCUAGCAAGACAUAUUCACUUAUUUUCUCUUAUGCAAAAUCUUUAGUUUAAUUUCCACAGAUAAUUGUCCUCCACCAUUCAUUUCAGGAGUUAAUGUUGAAUCAGAUGUAGCAACUGUCAUUGUAACAUAGCAAUUAAGCAAUGUAAUGUUGUAGCUAUGACAUUUUCCACCAAAAGUGAUUUUUUUUUUUUUUUAAUACAGCUGAAGCUAAGACAAACCUCAGUAAUACUAUUCAGAACCAAAUUUCACAUACUGGGGUUUAGAAACCUACCUAACUUGUGCAUAGCAGCAGAUGCAACUCUUGCUUCAGGCUAACCCUCCAAAAGCAGAAUCUCAAAAGUCAAUGGUAUCAGAAUGUUGAUCAGUUCAGUUGUCCACAUAUUUCAGCCAAAAGGAAGAUAGUUUUCUGGGGGAAGGAUUUUAUAUAGUUUGUAAUAAUGAAACAGUUUCCUACUAUGAGGCCUCUGCUAUUCAGGUAGCAAUGAUGCAUUUAAUAUGCCCAGUACUUUCAAAAUCUAUACAAAGAUGAGCAUUAGAAUACAGAAAGUCUGACUCCUUCAGAGCAAUGCAUUUCAAGAAGCAGAGCCUUACUGCAGCAAAUCCCAAAGGAAUUUCAUUGCAAAACUCUGCAGUCAUCAGGCUGGAAACGUUCCAGGUGUUUAAUCACAGGCAGGAGGGUGAGAACUGAGAGAGAGAUGAAAAAUCUCAGUGAUAAGCAGAACUAGGAAGGAUGUGGUGACUGAGGGAGAGAAACAGGAAAAGGGGAGGAGGAGAGGAAAGGGAGAAAAACAUCUCACGCCACCGAUGAACAGAAGCACAAACAUCAAGAAAAACACAUAAAACAAGGCCAGCAUCAAUUCCACAAAGUUAUUCUUCGGUCCUCUUAUUCCUUCUCCUUAAACUAAAAGAUACUCAGAGAACAGCUAGCUGUGUGCAUGUAAAGCAAAAUUCAGGCUACGUUGGGCAUUAGAAUACAGUUGAGUGGUACUACCCACCAGUUACAUCUUCAUGUAGUUACCAAACUGUGUUUCUUCAAGGAGAGUGGGGAAGGAAGGAAAUCUUGUCACGGACAGCACAAAAUGAAGAAAAAAAGACUGCUAGAGAAGAAAACAAAUAGGACCG